Molecule: ribosomal RNA, 529 nt
Filed under: Priestia megaterium
Lineage: Bacteria; Bacillati; Bacillota; Bacilli; Caryophanales; Bacillaceae
Description: bacterial SSU rRNA
Rfam family: Bacterial small subunit ribosomal RNA
Source: RNAcentral
CCGCGUGAGUGAUGAAGGCUUUCGGGUCGUAAAACUCUGUUGUUAGGGAAGAACAAGUACAAGAGUAACUGCUUGUACCUUGACGGUACCUAACCAGAAAGCCACGGCUAACUACGUGCCAGCAGCCGCGGUAAUACGUAGGUGGCAAGCGUUAUCCGGAAUUAUUGGGCGUAAAGCGCGCGCAGGCGGUUUCUUAAGUCUGAUGUGAAAGCCCACGGCUCAACCGUGGAGGGUCAUUGGAAACUGGGGAACUUGAGUGCAGAAGAGAAAAGCGGAAUUCCACGUGUAGCGGUGAAAUGCGUAGAGAUGUGGAGGAACACCAGUGGCGAAGGCGGCUUUUUGGUCUGUAACUGACGCUGAGGCGCGAAAGCGUGGGGAGCAAACAGGAUUAGAUACCCUGGUAGUCCACGCCGUAAACGAUGAGUGCUAAGUGUUAGAGGGUUUCCGCCCUUUAGUGCUGCAGCUAACGCAUUAAGCACUCCGCCUGGGGAGUACGGUCGCAAGACUGAAACUCAAAUGAAUUGACGGA